UUCGUGUGAACAGUGGUUGAUCACGAGUUAGUCGGUCCUAAGUUCAAGGCGAAAGCCGAAAAUUUUCAAGUAAACAAAUGUGAAAUAUUUAAAUAUUGUUAAUUAUUAUACACUUGAAUAAUUUUGAACGAAAGGGAAUACGGUUCCAAUUCCGUAACCUGUUGAGUAUCCGUUUGUUAUUAAAUAUGGGCCUCGUGCUCAUCCUGGCAACAGGAACGACCAUAAAGAAGCCGUCGAGAGAUAUCGGAAGAGUUUUCUUUUCUGUUUUAUAGCCGUACUACCAUGGAAGUCUUUCGCAGAGAGAUAUGGUAGAUGGGCUAGAAGAGCAUGACAUAUACUGUUGUGUCGAUAUUUUCUCCUCGGACCUUGAAAAUUUAUGGUGGGGAUACGCAAACUUCUCAACAGGCCGUACCAAUAUCCGCAGCUGGUCUCCAAGGUGAAGAGUCUCUAGUCGAUAGAAUA
RNAcentral lists this ribosomal RNA (462 nucleotides) under Dichaetophora sp. G3 (Toda). RNAcentral describes it as "partial 28S ribosomal RNA". It matches the Rfam family "Eukaryotic large subunit ribosomal RNA", at positions 1508 to 1897 of the family's 3401-position model. Lineage: Eukaryota; Metazoa; Arthropoda; Insecta; Diptera; Drosophilidae. The record is from RNAcentral.